RNAcentral lists this long non-coding RNA (251 nucleotides) under Prunus dulcis (almond). Its description in RNAcentral is "sRNA ncRNA". Lineage: Eukaryota; Viridiplantae; Streptophyta; Magnoliopsida; Rosales; Rosaceae. The record is from RNAcentral.
AUUGAAAAUUCUCGGAGUGACCAAGGAAGUUGGUGUUUUGGGAAGCAAAGAAACAGUUGGGAUUUUUGUCUGCUUGUUGUUGGAGGGAAGAGGCAUCUGGGUUGUUUUAAAUAUCAGCGAAAUUGUGAGAAAUGAGAUCAGCAACUUUUUGUGUGUGUGGAAGAACGGCUCAUUUGACCCACAUUUACCAUUGUUAUAUGCCAUUUGGCAUUCAAUUGGAGCAAACCCUCUUGCCCAUUUCAGCUCUAAGG